RNAcentral lists this transfer RNA (68 nucleotides) under Operophtera brumata (winter moth). It matches the Rfam family "tRNA". Rfam says of the family: Transfer RNA (tRNA) molecules are approximately 80 nucleotides in length. Their secondary structure includes four short double-helical elements and three loops (D, anti-codon, and T loops). The record is from Rfam by way of RNAcentral. Lineage: Eukaryota; Metazoa; Arthropoda; Insecta; Lepidoptera; Geometridae.
CGUUCUAUGGCCGAACUGGUGAAGGCGGAUUACAGGCGAGGAUGUGGGUUCGAGUCCCGCUGGAACGG